RNAcentral lists this ribosomal RNA (232 nucleotides) under uncultured bacterium. RNAcentral's name for it is "partial 16S ribosomal RNA". It matches the Rfam family "Bacterial small subunit ribosomal RNA", at positions 118 to 350 of the family's 1533-position model. The record is from RNAcentral.
UGGGCAACCUGCCCUCAGCACGGGGAUAACCCCGGGAAACCGGAGCUAAUACCCGAUACGACCUCUACGGGCAUCCGUGGAGGUGGAAAGGUUUUUCCGGCUGAGGAUGGGCCCGCGGCCUAUCAGCUAGUUGGUGGGGUGACGGCCUACCAAGGCGACGACGGGUAGCCGGCCUGAGAGGGCGACCGGCCACACUGGGACUGAGACACGGCCCAGACUCCUACGGGAGGCA